CAUAUGCAUACACCCUUACAAGUACAUAAGUAUUUAUGUACUAUUCGGUAUACCAAAACGUCAGCUUUCUUUUAUAAUUUAUACGAUCGGUAUUUUAGACCUUCGGACAUGCAUAAAUUCGCGUAAGAUACCAGUCUAUGACGUCUCUCAUCGGUGACUUAAUACCAGUUUAAAUUGAUAUGAUAGAACGCGACACAAAAGUAGUAAUACUGUCUUAGAAUCUCAAUACCGUGUAAGAAAAUUCUACAUUGAUCAUUGGUUGUUAAGUCUAACCAUAUAUUCCUCGUCUGUCAAACAAAAAAAUAAAAUAUAAAAAUGAUUAAAAAUGGUGCAUUGAAACUUAAUUAUGUAGGAUCUAGUUCAAUAGUUA
Nomia melanderi (Alkali bee) is the source of this 370-nucleotide non-coding RNA. NCBI's taxonomy places the organism in Eukaryota, Metazoa, Arthropoda, Insecta, Hymenoptera, Halictidae. The record is from RefSeq and is a predicted model, not a curated record.